This 331-nucleotide ribosomal RNA is filed under the name uncultured bacterium. RNAcentral describes it as "partial 16S ribosomal RNA". It matches the Rfam family "Bacterial small subunit ribosomal RNA", at positions 338 to 667 of the family's 1533-position model. The record is from RNAcentral.
CCUACGGGAGGCAGCAGUGAGGAAUAUUGGUCAAUGGGCGCGAGCCUGAACCAGCCAAGUCGCGUGAGGGAAGACGGUCCUAUGGAUUGUAAACCUCUUUUGUCGGGGAGCAAAAGACGCCACGCGUGGCGUUCCGAGAGUACCCGAAGAAAAAGCAUCGGCUAACUCCGUGCCAGCAGCCGCGGUAAUACGGAGGAUGCGAGCGUUAUCCGGAUUUAUUGGGUUUAAAGGGUGCGCAGGCGGAAGUUCAAGUCAGCGGUAAAAUUGAGAGGCUCAACCCCUUCGAGCGGUUGAAACUGGUUUUCUGGAGUGGGGGAGAAGUAGGCGGAAU